AGCGAACGCUGGCGGCAGGCCUAACACAUACAAGUCGAACGGAUCCUUCGGGAUUAGUGGCGGACGGGUGAGUAACACGUGGGAACGUGCCCUUUGGUUCGGAACAACUCAGGGAAACUUGAGCUAAUACCGGAUGUGCCCUUCGGGGGAAAGAUUUAUCGCCAUUGGAGCGGCCCGCGUCUGAUUAGCUAGUUGGUGAGGUAACGGCCCACCAAGGCGACGAUCAGUAGCUGGUCUGAGAGGAUGAUCAGCCACACUGGGACUGAGACACGGCCCAGACUCCUACGGGAGGCAGCAGUGGGGAAUCUUGCGCAAUGGGCGAAAGCCUGACGCAGCCAUGCCGCGUGAAUGAUGAAGGUCUUAGGAUUGUAAAAUUCUUUCAGCGGGGACGAUAAUGACGGUACCCGCAGAAGAAGCUCCGGCUAACUUCGUG
Molecule: ribosomal RNA, 433 nt
Filed under: uncultured bacterium
Lineage: Bacteria
Description: partial 16S ribosomal RNA
Rfam family: Bacterial small subunit ribosomal RNA
Source: RNAcentral